This 489-nucleotide ribosomal RNA is filed under the name uncultured bacterium. Its description in RNAcentral is "partial 16S ribosomal RNA". It matches the Rfam family "Bacterial small subunit ribosomal RNA", at positions 28 to 507 of the family's 1533-position model. The record is from RNAcentral.
GACGAACGCUGGCGGCGUGCUUAACACAUGCAAGUCGAACGGUGAAGGGACCAGCUUGCUGGUUCUGGAUGAGUGGCGAACGGGUGAGUAACACGUGAGUAACCUGCCCCCUUCUUCUGGAUAACCGCAUGAAAGUGUGGCUAAUACGGGAUAUUCUGGGUCUGUCGCAUGGCGGGCCCGGGAAAGAUAUUGCUUCGGUGGGGGAUGGGCUCGCGGCCUAUCAGCUUGUUGGUGGGGUGAUGGCCUACCAAGGCGGUGACGGGUAGCCGGCCUGAGAGGGUGGACGGUCACACUGGGACUGAGACACGGCCCAGACUCCUACGGGAGGCAGCAGUGGGGAAUAUUGCACAAUGGGCGCAAGCCUGAUGCAGCGACGCCGCGUGAGGGAUGGAGGCCUUCGGGUUGUAAACCUCUUUCGCCAGUGAAGCAGGCCUGCUCCUUGUGGGUGGGUUGACGGUAGCUGGAGAAGAAGCGCCGGCUAACUACGUG